Molecule: ribosomal RNA, 607 nt
Filed under: Prevotella sp. oral taxon 298
Lineage: Bacteria; Pseudomonadati; Bacteroidota; Bacteroidia; Bacteroidales; Prevotellaceae
Description: bacterial SSU rRNA
Rfam family: Bacterial small subunit ribosomal RNA
Source: RNAcentral
AUGGGCGAGAGCCUGAACCAGCCAAGUAGCGUGCAGGAUGACGGCCCUAUGGGUUGUAAACUGCUUUUGUAUGGGGAUAAAGUCAAUCACGUGUGAUUGUUUGCAGGUACCAUACGAAUAAGGACCGGCUAAUUCCGUGCCAGCAGCCGCGGUAAUACGGAAGGUCCGGGCGUUAUCCGGAUUUAUUGGGUUUAGAGGGAGCGUAGGCUGGAGAUUAAGUGUGUUGUGAAAUGUAGACGCUCAACGUCUGACUUGCAGCGCAUACUGGUUUCCUUGAGUACGCACAACGUUGGCGGAAUUCGUCGUGUAGCGGUGAAAUGCUUAGAUAUGACGAAGAACUCCGAUUGCGAAGGCAGCUGACGGGAGCGCAACUGACGCUGAAGCUCGAAGGUGCGGGUAUCGAACAGGAUUAGAUACCCUGGUAGUCCGCACAGUAAACGAUGGAUGCCCGCUGUUGGUACCUGGUAUCAGCGGCUAAGCGAAAGCAUGAAGCAUCCCACCUGGGGAGUACGCCGGCAACGGUGAAACUCAAAGGAAUUGACGGGGGCCCGCACAAGCGGAGGAACAUGUGGUUUAAUUCGAUGAUGCGCGAGGAACCUUACCCGGG